Molecule: transfer RNA, 85 nt
Organism: Felis catus (domestic cat)
Lineage: Eukaryota; Metazoa; Chordata; Mammalia; Carnivora; Felidae
Rfam family: tRNA
About the family: Transfer RNA (tRNA) molecules are approximately 80 nucleotides in length. Their secondary structure includes four short double-helical elements and three loops (D, anti-codon, and T loops).
Source: Rfam
GCCUGGGUGGCUCAGUGGGUUAAGCGUCUGACUUCAGCUCAGGUCAUGAAUGCACAGUUCAUGGGUUCAAGCCCCAAGUCAGGCU